AGAGUUUGAUCAUGGCUCAGGACGAACGCUGGCGGCGUGCUUAACACAUGCAAGUCGAGCGGAAAGGCCCUUCGGGGUACUCGAGCGGCGAACGGGUGAGUAACACGUGAGCAACCUGCCCUAGGCUUUGGGAUAACCCCGGGAAACCGGGGCUAAUACCGAAUAGGACUGCUGGUCGCAUGACUGGUGGUGGAAAGUUUUUCGGCCUGGGAUGGGCUCGCGGCCUAUCAGCUUGUUGGUGGGGUGAUGGCCUACCAAGGCGACGACGGGUAGCCGGCCUGAGAGGGCGACCGGCCACACUGGGACUAAGACACGGCCCAGACUCCUACGGGAGGCAGCAGUGGGGAAUAUUGCACAAUGGGCGGAAGCCUGAUGCAGCGACGCCGCGUGAGGGAUGACGGCCUUCGGGUUGUAAACCUCUUUCAGCAGGGACGAAGCGCGAGUGACGGUACCUGCAGAAGAAGCGCCGGCCAACUACGUGCCAGCAGCCGCGGUAAGACGUAGGGCGCGAGCGUUGUCCGGAUUUAUUGGGCGUAAAAAGCUCGUAGGCGGCUUGUCGCGUCGACCGUGAAAACUUGGGGCUCAACCCCAAGCCUGCGGUCGAUACGGGCAGGCUAGAGUUCGGUAGGGGAGACUGGAAUUCCUGGUGUAGCGGUGAAAUGCGCAGAUAUCAGGAGGAACACCGGUGGCGAAGGCGGGUCUCUGGGCCGAUACUGACGCUG
This 722-nucleotide ribosomal RNA is filed under the name uncultured bacterium. Its description in RNAcentral is "bacterial SSU rRNA". It matches the Rfam family "Bacterial small subunit ribosomal RNA", at positions 8 to 748 of the family's 1533-position model. The record is from RNAcentral.